UGCCAGCCGCCGCGGUAAUACGAAGGUCCCAAGCGUUGUUCGGAUUUACUGGGCGUAAAGCGUGCGUAGGCGGCAAGGUAAGUCAGAUGUGAAAUCCCGGGGCUCAACCCCGGAACUGCAUCCGAUACUGCCUUGCUAGAGUAAUGGAGGGGCAUCUGGAAUUCAUGGUGUAGCAGUGAAAUGCGUAGAUAUCAUGAGGAACACUAGUGGCGAAGGCAGCUCUCUGGACUAUUACUGACCCUGAGGGACGAAAGCUAGGGGAGCGAACAGGAUUAGAUA
This 279-nucleotide ribosomal RNA is filed under the name uncultured bacterium. Its description in RNAcentral is "partial 16S ribosomal RNA". It matches the Rfam family "Bacterial small subunit ribosomal RNA", at positions 506 to 784 of the family's 1533-position model. The record is from RNAcentral.